Molecule: ribosomal RNA, 375 nt
Filed under: Brianaria tuberculata
Lineage: Eukaryota; Fungi; Ascomycota; Lecanoromycetes; Lecanorales; Psoraceae
Description: bacterial SSU rRNA
Rfam family: Bacterial small subunit ribosomal RNA
Source: RNAcentral
AAUAGCCUAACGGCUGAACCAGCGACUUGGAGGAAUGAAUAGCAAUAGCUAAUUGCGUCAAAAACAUGAUGCAAAAUCGAUUUCUUGAUUAAAAUUCUGGGUAGAAUUAUGAUUAUGACAUUGUCUACCCACACGUCUUGACCAAAUUGCGUGCCAGCAGUCGCGGUAAUACGUAGAAGACUAGUGUUAUUCAUCUUUAUUUGGUUUAAAGGGUACCUAGACGGUAAAUCAAGCCCUAGUCGGGACUAAUUUGCUAGAGUUACUUAUGAGGGGGUUUUAAAGUACUAAUGGUGUAGAGAUGAAAUUUUGUAAUACCAUUUUUCGAAAGAAAAGUUAUGGCACAGGUAUAUGCGAAAGCAUCCCCUUAUGUGAUAA